RNAcentral lists this ribosomal RNA (459 nucleotides) under uncultured bacterium. RNAcentral's name for it is "partial 16S ribosomal RNA". It matches the Rfam family "Bacterial small subunit ribosomal RNA", at positions 338 to 795 of the family's 1533-position model. The record is from RNAcentral.
CCUACGGGAGGCAGCAGUGAGGAAUAUUGGUCAAUGGCCGGAAGGCUGAACCAGCCAAGCCGCGUGAGGGAGGAAGGCGCAGAGCGUCGCAGACCUCUUUUGCCGGGGGACAAAAGGCCGGACGGGUCCGGUUCUGAGGGUACCCGGAGAAAAAGCAUCGGCUAACUCCGUGCCAGCAGCCGCGGUAAUACGGAGGAUGCGAGCGUUAUCCGGAUUCAUUGGGUUAAAAGGGUGCGCAGGCGGGCCUUUAAGCCGGCGGUGAAAUCGCGGGGCUCAACCCCGUCCGGCCGUUGAAACUGGGGGCCUUGAGUGGGCGAGAAGAAGGCGGAAUGCGUGGUGUAGCGGUGAAAUGCAUAGAUAUCACGCAGAACCCCGAUUGCGAAGGCAGCCUUCCGGCGCCCUACUGACGCUGAGGCACGAAAGUGCGGGGAUCGAACAGGAUUAGAUACCCUUGUAGUC